Molecule: long non-coding RNA, 686 nt
Organism: Gossypium raimondii (Peruvian cotton)
Lineage: Eukaryota; Viridiplantae; Streptophyta; Magnoliopsida; Malvales; Malvaceae
Exons: 3
Source: RefSeq, a predicted model, not a curated record
GCAGAGCCGAACCCAGUGUUUUGAGUUUGCUCUUAUAGCAAAUAAUGAAAGAAAAAUAAGGUGAAGCGGGGAUGCGGCUAGGUGCGAUGGCUGGAGCUUGCUAGGGUUUCUGAUCUUGUUUCGAUUUUGGGCCAAAAUUGUACUGGGCCUCGACCAUAUGGGCCUAUUGUAAUUUGGGCCUUUUGCCCGGGCCAAAAUCGGGUAUUACAAUAAUAGUUCUCAGUUUUUUUUGGCCUCUACUGACUGCGAUUGUCACCCCAAAUGCAUGAUUUGUGUGUAAGGGUCUAUUAAAAAACUAACCUGGGGUCUGUUCAGCAUAUAUUGUUUACAACUUGCUUGCUUGAGUUGCGCUGCUGCCCUUACUGGUAGUGAUUUAUUUUGCAGGUAAUUUAGGGUGGCAGUACAUGGUCAGUACACUUUGACUGAUAUAUAUAUAUAAGAAAAUUGUAGACAUAUAUGGCGUUUCAGAACAGUAGAGAUUUGCAUUUUGUUUGAGUUUGGAUUGUGAAGUAGAGAUGAUUGAGUGAGCUCAUAAUAAUCCAAAUUCCACAUGCUCUUCGCUUUGCUUUGUUCGGCCUUUUUAUUAUAUACUCUUAUUUCUUUUAUUCAUAUAAACUAAUUGUUUGCUACAUGUUACUUCAAAAGAAACAAAUUAUAGGCAAGUAUAAAUCUAAAUCCAUGUUCCC